ACUAGAGUUUUCAUCUCACUGAAAAUUCAAUAUCAAAAUUAAAAACAGCUGAGGUAGUUACUCGGGUGCCUUCCUUCAGCUUAUUCAAAAGAAUAUAGGAUGAACGGUAAGAAUUAAGUAAACCACAAAUUAUUUUGGAGUGUCUGGUUUGUAUUAUAAAUAAAUUUUUCACUGCUGGUUGUUUUUUCAAAAAUAUUGACUGUAUUUUUGAUAUUCAUUCCUGUGAUCUAAUGUAAACUAUGUCCUACCAAUUUAAUGUAUUGUUUGUUCAUGAUUACAUUUUUUAUUACACUCAUAUGCUAUAAAUAUUUCUCACUCUGCUCUUUUGGAUCUUUCCCAAAUAGCCAUAGUGUUUAAGACAUGUCAUGGAAAAUGUUAUUAAGAGAACUAUCCCCCUUUCAUGUUGGCACGUACUAAUUUCACACCUUGAAUAGAGUCUAACCAUAUCAACACUGAAAUAUCUAUUUUUCAAGAAACUGAACUGAAGAGCAUUUAUUAAGGGGCAACAACAAAAAAGUCACAACUGAGUGUCACUCUGGUAUCAAAAUUUUCUUUCUUAUCGAUCUGAACUAGAAUUUUAAAAUACUUGUUGGUAAAUUUACAUUAGUUUAUAUUUUGAUGAAAUCAAAGUUGGUUAGUUUUUGGUUUUGAAGUAUAGAAUGCUUGUGGACCUUGCCUUAUAUUUUUGAAAUUGGUGAAGUAAUACAAUAUUUAUACAUUUCAUUCUUAAUUACAAAGGUAAUAUUACCAACACAAUGCACUGUGUAAAAUAGGAAAGAAAGAUUACCAGUCACUGUCUACGGGCCACAUAUUUUAAAAGUGUGUUUAAUCUCAGAACAAUGUUCUAUUUUAUUCUCAUUACCUACAAAGGAGCACAGUGUUUCCUUUCCACAAAGUGGGAAGAAUGGGGAGAAAAUACACCAAAGUUUUUAAAGCUAGGAACUGAUGGAGAGGACGAUCCUCUUUCGGUGGAACAUCAACAAUAGAGGGGACAGUAUGAUGCUGACUCUGCUCAAAGAAAGCCAUGCGUACUAUCUGCACAAGGGCCACCAUGUUGCUGGACAUAGAAACAUAUGGAACCAGGCAGAGCAGCAAAGGACAGUGAACCUCUCCACACUGCUGACUAGUGACCACUUACCCACAAAGAUCCUCCCUCUUCACAGAGGCGUUACAUCUUCAAACAGGGGACAUGAUACACAGUAAAAAGACUCAGGGUUUACUGAAGGAGUUUAUCUUCCACUGCUUAAACUUCUGUAUGGAUAUUGAUGGCAUACACAUUCAGAAAGGGAAAGAAGAAAAUCAACUUGCUGGAAAACCAAUUUGUCGAAUGAACAACUUACUGAAAAUCAAAUUCUUUCCAUUAAUUUUAUCUUGUACUAUCAGUAACCAUGAUGCAUGAGAUGGUUGCAACACUCCUAAGGAUUUCUUUUUUCUUUCAAAACUUUCAUUUGGCUUUAGUUUUUCUGCAGCUACAGUGGUGAGCCAAACCAGAAUAUCACAGACUUCAUUACAUACCAACUUUAGAAAAUAAAAAUAUUCUGGUAUAUUUCA
Long non-coding RNA from Vulpes vulpes (red fox), 1551 nucleotides. The record is from Ensembl. Lineage: Eukaryota; Metazoa; Chordata; Mammalia; Carnivora; Canidae.